UACGGGAGGCAGCAGGGGGGAAUAUUGCACAAUGGGCGAAAGCCUGAUGCAGCUAUGCCGCGUGUAUGAAGAAGGCCUUAGGGUUGUAAAGUACUUUCAUCGGGGAGGAAAAAACAAACUAAUAAUUUUAUUUCUUGACGUUACCCGAAAAGAAGCACCGGCUAACUCCGUGCCAGCAGCCGCGGUAAUACGGAGGGUGCUAGCGUUAAUCGGAAUUACUGGGCGUAAAGGGCACGCAGGCGGUUAAUUAAGUUGGAUGUGAAAUCCCCGGGCUUAACCUGGGAAUGGCAUUCAAGACUGGUUAGCUAGAGUCUUGUAGAGGGGGUAGAAUUCCAUGUGUAGCGGUGAAAUGCGUAGAGAUGUGGAGGAAUACCGGUGGCGAAGGCGGCCCCUGGACAAGACUGACGCUCAUGUGCGAAAGCGUGGGGAGCAAACAGGGAUUUAGGAUACC
This 451-nucleotide ribosomal RNA is filed under the name uncultured bacterium. RNAcentral describes it as "bacterial SSU rRNA". It matches the Rfam family "Bacterial small subunit ribosomal RNA", at positions 340 to 786 of the family's 1533-position model. The record is from RNAcentral.